This 1030-nucleotide long non-coding RNA is filed under the name Capra hircus (goat). Its description in RNAcentral is "lncRNA (ENSCHIG00010006641.1)". The record is from RNAcentral. Lineage: Eukaryota; Metazoa; Chordata; Mammalia; Artiodactyla; Bovidae.
CAGCAGGAGCUGACAAUCCUCAGGGCUUUCUAUGCACAUGCCACACUAAGGGCUACGAUUCUCACCUAAUCUUCACAAUAAUCCUAUGCGGUAGCUGCCAUUAUUUUCCUCACUCCGCCAACGAGAAAAUCGAGGUUCAGGGAGGUUUCAGAAACUUACCCAAGUUCAUCCAGUAAUAAAUACCAAACUUGGGAACUAAGAUUUCAGUCUUCUAUUUCUGAAGCCUGUGCUUAUUAUUACUUUUUAGCUACUUUCCACUGAUUAUGAGGACUAUAACUGAUGGGCAGNUUACAGGAUACAAUUAUUAUACACAAGUGGGCUCGGUGGUCUUUGCAAAACAUGUAUUAACACUAAAAUUGUAUCAGCAUCUGGUAUACUUAAAAGCUUUUUUUGAUACAUCUAAAAAUAAAAUGUAUUUUUUUUAACCAUUUAAAGAGUAGCAUGUGGUGAUACAGAAAGUUCGUAAUUAGAAGGAAGGAAAACCCAUCAAUAUUCUUAGCAACUCAAAGACCACUAUAGUUAACACCUUAAUAUAUAUUUCUUGCCAUUUUUUUCUAUGCAUAAUUUAUAUAUUUGUGAUCUUCUGUAUACAUAAAUUUGAAUCCUGUAUUUCUUCAUCAGUAUCAUAAUAAUCACUUCCCCAGAGGUAUUUCCUAACUUUUUGGUUGCCACAGUCCCCUAACUGCAGUCAGAGGCAUAGUAAGAUCCUGAUACCACAUGCUGAAUCGUAAGAUAAAAUCUAGUCAUUCAUUAUUUUUAAGUCUUCAUUGAAUUUGUUACAUUAUUCCUUCUCUUUCAUGUUUGAGUUUUUGGCCAUGAGGCAUGUGGGAUCUUAGCUUCAUGACCAGGGAUCAAACUUACACCUCCUACAUUGGUAGGUAAAGUUUUAACCACAAGACCACUAGGGAAAUCCCUAAUCAUUCAUUAUUAAUUUCAUCAAGUUAUUGAACUGAUAAUACAUAUGCUUAUUCAAAAUUUCAAACGAAGAAAAAGAUAAAUAGAAAAGCCUGCCUGUUAUUCUUGACUUACA